This 301-nucleotide ribosomal RNA is filed under the name uncultured bacterium. Its description in RNAcentral is "partial 16S ribosomal RNA". It matches the Rfam family "Bacterial small subunit ribosomal RNA", at positions 509 to 809 of the family's 1533-position model. The record is from RNAcentral.
CAGUAGCCGCGGUAAUACGUAGGGUGCAAGCGUUAAUCGGAAUUACUGGGCGUAAAGCGUGCGCAGGCGGUUAUAUAAGACAGAUGUGAAAUCCCCGGGCUCAACCUGGGAACUGCAUUUGUGACUGUAUAGCUAGAGUACGGCAGAGGGGGAUGGAAUUCCGCGUGUAGCAGUGAAAUGCGUAGAUAUGCGGAGGAACACCGAUGGCGAAGGCAAUCCCCUGGGCCUGUACUGACGCUCAUGCACGAAAGCGUGGGGAGCAAACAGGAUUAGAGACCCCUGUAGUCCCUGUCUCUAAUAC